RNAcentral lists this ribosomal RNA (1468 nucleotides) under uncultured Chloroflexota bacterium. RNAcentral describes it as "bacterial SSU rRNA". It matches the Rfam family "Bacterial small subunit ribosomal RNA". Lineage: Bacteria; Bacillati; Chloroflexota. The record is from RNAcentral.
AUUAUGGCCGCGGGAUUAGAGUUUGAUCAUGGCUCAGGAUGAACGCUAGCGGCGUGCCUAAUGCAUGCAAGUCGAACGGGAUCCUUUGGACUCGUCCGAAGGUGAGAGUGGCGAACGGGUGAGUAUCGCGUUGGUGACCUGCCCCAGAGAGGGGGACAACCAGUGGAAACGCUGGCUAAUACCCCGGAUGUCAUUGUGCUUAGAAAGCAAUGACUAAAGCUCCGGCGCUCUGGGAGGGGCCUGCGUCCCAUCAGCUUGUUGGUAGGGUAAUGGCCUACCAAGGCGAAGACGGGUAGGGGGCGUGAGAGCGUGGCCCCCCACACUGGUACUGAAACACGGACCAGAUACCUACGGGUAGCAGCAGCAAGGAAUAUUGCCCAAUGGACGAAAGUCUGAGGCAGCAACGCCGCGUGGAGGAUGAAGGCCUUCGGGUUGUAAACUCCUUUCAGGGGGAAGAGAAAGGACGGUACCCCAGGAAUAAGGCCCGGCUAACUACGUGCCAGCAGCCGCGGUAAAACGUAGGGGUCGAGCGUUAUCCGGAUUUACUGGGCGUAAAGCGCAUGUAGGCGGUCGCUUAAGUCGGACGUGAAAGCUCCUGGCUCAACUAGGAGAGGCCGUUCGAAACUAGGCGACUCGAGGAUGGUAGGGGAGAGUGGAAUUCCCGGUCAGUAUACGGUGAAAUGCGUAGAUAUCGGGAGGAACACCAGUGGCGAAGGCGGCUCUCUGGACUUAAUUCCUAUCCGCUGAGAUGCGAAAGCUAGGGGAGAGAACGGGAUUAGAAACCCCGGUAUUCCUAGCUGUGAACAGUGAUGUCAACUAGGCGUAGCAGUAAUUGACCCCCUCUGUGCUGUAGCUAACGCGUUAAGUUGACCGCCUGGGGACUACGGCCGCAAGGCUAAAACUCAAAGGAAUUGAUAGGGACCCGCACAAGAGCGGAGCGUGUGGUUUAAUUCGAGGCUACGCGAAGAACCUUACCAGGGUUUGACAUCGAAGUGGUAGGGAUCCGAAAGGUGACCGACCCUUCGGGGAGCCCGUGACAGGUGCUGCAUGGCUUUCGUCAGAAGCGUGCCGUGAGGUGUUAGGUUAAGUCCUGUAACGAGCGCAACCCACGUCGUUAGUUAUAUGCAGUUCUAACGAGACUGCCGGUGAUAAGCCGGAGGAAGGUGUGGAUGACGUCAAGUCAGCAUGGCCUUUAUAUCCUGGGCUACACACACGCUACAAUGGCCGGCAGUCAAUGGGCAGCGAAACCGCGAGGUGAAGCCAAUCCUCCAAAGCCGGUCUCAGUUCGGAUUAGGCUGCAACUCUUGCAUGAAGUCGGAGUUGCUAGUAAACGUGCGUCAGCAACAGCGCGUUGAAUACGUUCCCGGGUCUUGUACACACCGCCCGUCACGUCAUGGAAGUUGGCAACGCCUGAAGUCGGUGGGCUACCUCACGGGAGGCAGCCGCCCAACGGGGUUAUAACUACAGU